Molecule: ribosomal RNA, 301 nt
Filed under: uncultured bacterium
Lineage: Bacteria
Description: partial 16S ribosomal RNA
Rfam family: Bacterial small subunit ribosomal RNA
Source: RNAcentral
CAGUAGCCACGGUAAUACGGAGGGGGCUAGCGUUGUUCGGAAUUACUGGGCGUAAAGCGCACGUAGGCGGCUUGGUAAGUUAGAGGUGAAAGCCCGGAGCUCAACUCCGGAAUUGCCUUUAAGACUGCCGAGCUAGUAGGUGAGAGAGGUAAGUGGAAUUCCGAGUGUAGAGGUGAAAUUCGUAGAUAUUCGGAAGAACACCAGUGGCGAAGGCGGCUCACUGGACGACUGUUGACGCUGAGGUGCGAAAGCGUGGGGAGCAAACAGGAUUAGAUACCCGUGUAGUCCCUGUCUCUUAUAC